CACGGGGGGAGCAAGCGUUGUUCGGAAUCACUGGGCGUAAAGGGCGUGUAGGCGGUUGUGUAAGUGGGAUGUGAAAUGCCUCGGCUUACCCGGGGACCUGCAUCCCAUACUGCAUGACUUGAGUACGGGAGAGGAUGAGGGAAUUCCUGGUGUAGCGGUGAAAUGCGUAGAUAUCAGGAGGAACACCGGUGGCGAAGGCGCUCAUCUGGCCCGAUACUGACGCUGAGGCGCGAAAGCUAGGGUAGCGAACGGG
RNAcentral lists this ribosomal RNA (253 nucleotides) under uncultured bacterium. RNAcentral describes it as "partial 16S ribosomal RNA". It matches the Rfam family "Bacterial small subunit ribosomal RNA", at positions 524 to 776 of the family's 1533-position model. The record is from RNAcentral.